Molecule: long non-coding RNA, 469 nt
Organism: Homalodisca vitripennis (glassy-winged sharpshooter)
Lineage: Eukaryota; Metazoa; Arthropoda; Insecta; Hemiptera; Cicadellidae
Exons: 2
Source: RefSeq, a predicted model, not a curated record
UUCGACUCAUAGUCUUAUAGUAGAGAGGUGUUGAUUUACGAAUAACAUCAAAGUUAGUUCUGUUAUCACUCACAAAUAUCGGAAAACUUAAAACGUUCAUACUUGUCGCAACUUGUAAUCAGUUCCGAUAUUACAUUCAUUUUCCAUCACGUACGCAGUUAAUAAUUUAUAUGAGUGUUUUAGAGGCUCAGAUGUGAAAGCAAUAUUACUUUUGCUGGAACUAGGCUAGUUAAUGUAGUAUUUUUUCAAACUAGUCUAUAGGGCUAAGUAAUUUUAUCGAGGUUCUUAACAUAACCUAUUCUCUAAACUUGGCUAACUGUGCCUUAAAUAAUACAUUGCAGUUUUAAUACGGUUUCUAGCUAAGAGUCCUACUUGGGCUGUAUUUAUUGUAACCAAUGGAUUUACAAGACUGCAACACAAAGGUUACUCAAAAGAGGUCUAUAACAGAGGACAGUAAUGUGAAACGGAA